This 1146-nucleotide long non-coding RNA is filed under the name Pandoravirus dulcis. Its description in RNAcentral is "putative ncRNA". The record is from RNAcentral.
CGAGGAGAGACGGUUCGGGCAAUCCACUGCCGCCACCGCCAUCGUAUCGCCGCGGCGGCCCAUGGUAGCGCCUGGUGCGCCUCGGCAGGCCAUCGAAUUCACCGUCCCAUAGGAUUGCAUCGGUGACGGCGCGGCGCACGGUCAGUCGGCGGCGCCCUCGCGGUCCCUGGCGCGGUCCAAAGGCAAUGUCGAGGCCGUGCACGACGGUGAGGUGAUCGACGAGAGCGCGCUGUUCCUCACGCGCCGGCGGAUGGCCCGACGUCGCCUUUUGGCCCCGAUCGGCAUACUGCUGUAGGCUGACGAGCAUGACGGCGACGGCGCCAAUCCCAUCGUCGUCGUUGCGCGCCAGGAGGGCGUCGGCCGCGAGGCGGUUGGCCGUCUUUUCCAUGUCGUGCGAAAUGCGCUUGGUGAGUCGCCUCCACAAGGUCCACCACUCACACCAGAGGCCGACGCUGACGCCCACGGCGAGCGCCAGGACAAACCCGCCGCACACGAGACUCCAUUUCAUUGCGGCCGCGCAGAUCGAAUCGUCGCAGAGCAGCGGGGAAAUCAAGACCGCGACGACGAUCGAGGAAGCCAAGAGGCCGACGCCGACCAACUCUGCCAAGAUGAUGCAUGCCACGCGCUGGACAGCGCCCAGCGCGCGCAUGCGCCUCUGACCGGCAAUGUCGGCGAGAUGGCCCACCUCGUGGUACAAGAGCGCAAGCGCGUUGGGCAUACUCAGGCGCAUCCCCGGCGGAUGGCGCACCCGAAUCAGGAACCGGUCAAACUGGGCCGAGCCUUGCACGCGUCCCGGCAGGGUAUGAGCGCACUCGGCCACGUCGACGCAAAGGGCGGCGCGCGACACGCCCAUGUCUGUCGCCGCCUGGUCGACGGCGUCGUACACGACAUCGGCCGUGGCCACGCGCGCCUGUCGACGGCGGCGGACCUCGGCGCGGGCCGGCCCGGUCGAGACGAUGUCGCUGUGUCUUUUCUUUGUUGUUGUCCUUCUCUCAAGGGUCAUGGCGUGUGGGCGGCCUUUUUCGAGGUAGUUGUGGCGGCGCGACAGCACGCAAAUGACCCACCCUGCAAGAAAAAAAGGCUCAACCUAUCGCGAAAAGAAAAACGGGAAAAAAAAGACAAACAAUCCGGCCCAUGGCCAACGAC